CAUGGACACGAGAAUAUGGUUUAGAAAAAUUGAAGAUCUACCGUGUCUAACGGAAUCGCGUGAAAGCAAAAUUGACAAUGACCCAACACACCUCCAGGCUGUGUAAGCUGCUAUUUAAACAAGAAGGAAAGUGAUGGAGUGCUGAAUCGGAUGACCUGGCCUCCACAAUCACCCGUACUCAACCCAGUUGAGAUGGUUUGGGAUGAGUUGGACCACAGAGUGAAUGAAAAGCAGCCAACAAGUGCUCAGUAUAUGUGGGAACUCCUUCAAGGCUGUAGGAAAAGCAUUCCAGGUGAAGCUGGUGGAGAACAACAUCUUCAAGAGGGCCAGGACGAAGGGGAGGCUGCCUCUGCUGCAGAUAGAACACAUCCUUUAGUCUGCGGGAAGAGGUCGUCUACUCCACCUGCUACCUGUCCCAGCUGCAGAACUAGUGUGUAGUGGAGCACGCCAUGCACCUGGCCCGGGAGGAACAUGGCAUCAGCCUGCAGGUAGCUGACCUUCGACCCCUCACACACCUCUUUAAGGACACCUUCCACUUGGCUCCAGACCUCCACCUGGGACAGCUGGUCCUGCCCACCUCACCACUAACUUCGGGCCCAUCUACAUGUACAAGCUGCAGAGGUUAAACUAGAACUGAUGGACAUGGAUUCACUUCAGUACCUUAUCUUAUUGAUCCCUUUGGUUCGACCUGAUUUCACCAGUUUUAAGUCAUUUUUCAAUGGACUUAUGUAUUUGUAUGCAGUGCUACCUUUGACCUCUAGGUGUCAGUAUUAGACAAUUAUACAAGUCCUAGCUCUCUGUAUUGAAAACAGGGCUUGAAGUUACAAGACCCAUAGAUUAGCUUUAAAUUAUUUUGAGGAUAAACUCAACCUACACUCGAAACAUUGCCCUGUCAAAUAAACAGAAUGUUUAUUUGUUUAUAGAUCAUUAUGCCCAGUCACUGAGGUUGAAAUAAACCAA
Molecule: long non-coding RNA, 960 nt
Organism: Oncorhynchus masou masou (cherry salmon)
Lineage: Eukaryota; Metazoa; Chordata; Actinopteri; Salmoniformes; Salmonidae
Exons: 3
Source: RefSeq, a predicted model, not a curated record